UUUUUUUUUCUUUCUUUCUUAUUUGUAAUCAGACUGAGUGGGCUGGGUGUGGUUGGUUGAGUAGAGAAACUUUUUAUUUUUAAUUGGAUUUGGCUUUAUAUUUAGACCUUAAUAAAUUUUUUAAAAAAGUUUUGGCAUAAAUGGAACACUUAUAUAAAUUAAAGUAUUCAAAAAAUGUGUCCCUAUAAACUAUUUCUGUUAUAGUAAUUU
Molecule: long non-coding RNA, 210 nt
Filed under: Ananas comosus (pineapple)
Lineage: Eukaryota; Viridiplantae; Streptophyta; Magnoliopsida; Poales; Bromeliaceae
Description: long non-coding RNA (ACOM_LNC015332)
Source: RNAcentral